Long non-coding RNA from Limulus polyphemus (Atlantic horseshoe crab), 762 nucleotides. RefSeq lists it as uncharacterized. The transcript has 3 exons. The record is from RefSeq and is a predicted model, not a curated record. Lineage: Eukaryota; Metazoa; Arthropoda; Merostomata; Xiphosura; Limulidae.
UAUUCAUUCUAAGAUCUAAAGACAUCCAAAGCUCUGAACUACUUGUACCGCCCACCACGAAAAUUGAUUGUUGAGCAUUUCAGCCACUCAACAAUAAAAUACGGAUGUAAUGUGGUCUGUGUUGGCACGUUAUUUGAUUAUUAACACAAAAUAAGAAAUAUGCCGAGGAGACACACACCUCAUCGUUAAGCCCCGUCUCGCUGAAAGGCUCAGAAGUGAAUCUCAUGCUACCGUGAAUGUGGAAAUUUCUUAUUUAAAACAAAGAUGCGUCAGAAAAAAAAGAAAGAAAAAAGGCUACUGUGAAUUAUUAGUGUAUGUCAUGUUUGAUUGUAAUGUUUCUUUCUUUUUUCUGAACUGUCAUGUCAACCAAAGUACGAGAGAAUCUCACACAAAAUCAUAACAUGUCGUUCUGGUUGAAAAGACACACUGUUGUCUCAAUAUUCUUUUUUUUUAUAUUUCAAGUAUAUGUUAGCAUGCAAGAAAAAAAAAUAACCCAAAAUUCAAGAUAACAUAUUUUAAAAACAAACUAAUUCGUUUCAUUGAAAGACGUUCAUCGACAAACACUGCGUUUUAGUUCACCGCUGGUAUUUUCAUUUACUUAUAUAUUUGAUAUUUCCUUGACGUAAAUGUAGUGACUUUACAAGUGAUAUAAAGAAUGCUUUCGAUCUCGCACAUGGCAGUUUGUGAUUUUGUUGUAUAAUGUGUAUUUUAAUACAUGUUGUUACUUAUAAAUGUAAUUACAUUUUACUCACUUUCUUUUAU